AGUCCCAUGCACCAAGAGGCGUUACACAUGUGGCUGUCAUGCCAUGUGUGUGUCAUUAGGUGGCAGAGAGGAAGAGACUAUGUCUACACUCAGUGUUCUGAAAAUUGUGAGCACUCAGAAUGAUUAGUAGCCUGACAUUG
Molecule: small nucleolar RNA, 140 nt
Organism: Pelodiscus sinensis (Chinese soft-shelled turtle)
Lineage: Eukaryota; Metazoa; Chordata; Testudines; Trionychidae
Product: small nucleolar RNA SNORA43
Source: Ensembl